UACGUAGGGGGCAAGCGUUGUCCGGAAUUAUUGGGCGUAAAGGGUGCGUAGGCGGCCUUUUAAGUCAGAUGUGAAAGCCCGCGGCUUAACUGCGGGAUUGCAUUUGAAACUGGGAGGCUUGAGUAUCGGAGAGGGUAGUGGAAUUCCCAGUGUAGCGGUGAAAUGCGUAGAUAUUGGGAGGAACACCAGUGGCGAAGGCGACUGCCUGGACGAAAACUGACGCUGAGGCACGAAAGCUAGGGGAGCAAACAGG
Molecule: ribosomal RNA, 253 nt
Filed under: uncultured bacterium
Lineage: Bacteria
Description: partial 16S ribosomal RNA
Rfam family: Bacterial small subunit ribosomal RNA
Source: RNAcentral